UUCCCACCACGCGAGAGCUUUUCGUACAUCCCCCCACCAGUCGGCUCCGACGGAGAAGCUAUUAAGCGACGCUCGGCCACUUCUCCCGGCAAAGUCUAGCUGACGGUUUAACGCGCAACACUUCGAGCUUGCGGAGCUUUCGCUGCUAGUAGAACACGUUCUGAGGCAGAGACAUUAAACGGUGUCGCGAGUUUCUUUUUCGAUAGAGAAAGAGGUGUGAGAUAGGUUGUAAACGAGUUCAAAAUGGAAGUUGCUAAGGUAAACGACAACGCCCAGAGCCUGGUCGAGCAGUUGUCGGACUCGGCCAACAUCACGGCGCUCUCGCAGUCGGUGAAGACUUCCUCGAAGACGCAGAGCGUGCAGAGCAAGUCGGUCAUCGAGUCGUCGCAAUCCAUCAAAACCGUCACCUCCAGCUCGAUGAGAUCGCACAAGUCGGUGGAAGUCGAGGAGGAGAUCGAGUACGAGGAAUAGAGCUUGGGAAUCGGAGCCUCGAUCUGUGCGGGAAGUGAGAAGAGCUUUACUCGAAUUCACUUGACCUGCGCCGCCGCUCGUCUUACCGCAAAAUCUUUUUUCGGCGAAUCUGGGACGGCUGGGGAAUUUUGGGAAAAAAUUAGCUCCCGAACCGAUGUCGAGCUUUGGUUUCUCUUGUUUCUCAAUAAGCUUUCCGUCAUAUUGACUCGAAAAAUAUUGUCGACGGACUAGUGAUACCGUCAAACGUGUUUAGCUAGGGCAAAUAAAAUCUGUUAUUUAUUUUGAUAUGCAUAUCAACAACGGCAACAAAAUUCUCAACGAAAUCUCGAGAGACAGCAAAACGAUGUGCGAAAGCGUGCGAAAAGGAGAACACGGAAUGUUAGGCUCUCUGGAUCGAUCGCUAUCUGGACGUUUUCCAAGCGACGACCGAGCGAGAGAGGCACGCGCGAAUAAUAAUUCCUUUUGUCCCGGUAUUUAUCACCCACAGCUGCACUGCUUACAUUGUUUGAUUUUCGACGACAACUAUUAUCGCCAACAGCUUUUUUUCAACUUUUUCGGCUCGUUUAAUUAGGACAGCUGUUGUUCGCACGUUCCCGCGGUUUACACGGCUGCUGAGCACUGACUUGUGUAUUUCGAGGUCUUCGUUGCGAGGGGCUGACUUUAUUAUUAGACUUUUAGCUCUUUAGUGUUAUACACGCUUCUUCUCCUUUGUUCGGGAAAAAUGCGCGCGGAUCAAUGUAUAGGCAAAUAUUUGGGCUUGAGAUAACAUUUACGUUGCGAUUUUCCGCGGUGUAUUUUGGGGUAAACGACUUUAUAUAAUUAUGUGUGUGUUUUCUUUUUGUACGAAAGACGUGUCGAAAACGAAUUCUAAUGUUUAGAAAAGAGUUAAAAAUACACUCGGCUAGGUGUAAAGAGGCUGUUGAUUGUAAGUUUCCUACUUGUCGUAAGUUAAGAUUUCUAUUUGUAUGAAUUUGUUAAAAAAAUAUUGUUGAAAAUAAAGAGGUUGGAAAGCAGCAUG
Nasonia vitripennis (jewel wasp) is the source of this 1489-nucleotide long non-coding RNA. RefSeq lists it as uncharacterized. NCBI's taxonomy places the organism in Eukaryota, Metazoa, Arthropoda, Insecta, Hymenoptera, Pteromalidae. The record is from RefSeq and is a predicted model, not a curated record. The transcript is spliced from 2 exons.